This is a long non-coding RNA of Pipra filicauda (Wire-tailed manakin), 282 nucleotides long. RefSeq lists it as uncharacterized. The record is from RefSeq and is a predicted model, not a curated record. The transcript has 3 exons. NCBI's taxonomy places the organism in Eukaryota, Metazoa, Chordata, Aves, Passeriformes, Pipridae.
CAGGGAGGCAGGGCUGGAAUUUCUGCCUAUUAAGCAUGUUGUGAUCAGCUCUGCCACUGCACUGGAUCUCUGAUAGACUUUCCAGAGAGCAACUGCUGUGGACUGCGUUCUUCCAUUCUUGCCCAAAAGGACCAGAAGCUUCCUCUGUUAUUUCUGUGCUCCACAGUUGCAUCUUGAAGGUACAGAACAGCAUUAAUAACUGGCUUUUUCAGGUACAGAGCCACUUGUGGGGAAGAGAACCAUGGAGCAUAAUCUGGACAGUUCCUCCUCCUCAAAUGCCAU